Molecule: long non-coding RNA, 1236 nt
Filed under: Homo sapiens (human)
Lineage: Eukaryota; Metazoa; Chordata; Mammalia; Primates; Hominidae
Description: non-protein coding ATXN8OS:6
Source: RNAcentral
CGCAGGACCUGGGCGUGGGGACACCACCAGGCAGGAGCAGAGGCAGGACUGGGACGCCAAAAGCUGAGAAUCCUCGAUGCCCGCGCGAGAGCCCCGUGUUAUGGCGAGUUCUGGAGGCUGGGAAGUUCAAGACCAAUGCACGAGAAUUUGGUCUAAAGAGAAUCUUCUUGCUCUGAACACACAUAGUAGAAGGCAGAAGGGCAAGAGAGAGAACAAAGUCUGUGUCUCCACAUGGCAGAAGAGCAGAGGAGACAGAACCUACUCCUCUAUGGCAACCACCCCAUCAAUGACAAAAAUCCUAGAAGGAUGUAUGUAUAGGAAGUUGAAGUGUUGAGAAGAGAAUGGCUCAGAGUCAAGCGGGAACAAGAUUCAAACUUCAGAGAGAGAGGGAAGAAAAACAUUUAAAUAUAUCUGGCAUAAUCCAAGACUAUUUACGACAAGUGUUCUGUGUUUCUAAUAAUAAAACAGACUUCACCUCGGAGUACCUGCAGAACUGGGACCCCAAUGACCAGGGAGAAUGAAGAACAACUUGUUGAAGGUAUAGAGAAGGCAGCAAAUCAUACAAGAAGGUCCAUCCCAAACCAGAGAUAGUAUAGAUAAAUCUCUCAUGUUAACUAUGGAAAAAAUAAAGGAAGAUGACGUAUUUUAAUAGAAGGGAAAUUGCGCUUAUUGGGAGUAAGAACACUGAAUUGACUGAAUAUCUUAAAGAGAGUUAGGAAGUGAAAUUCUCAACAGGUGAUUAUUCUUUGACCAAUUUUGUCUUAUCUCUUAUCCACAUUCUUCCCUGCUCUUCCCAAUACAUGUGUAAGAAUAUCCAAGGGCACACACAUACCAUAAGCAGGAAUGGUGUCCUAAGGAAAGUCAAUAUAGAGAGUAAGAAGUAUAUCUGUCACAAUGUGUACAUGUAUACAUCCUAAAUAUUUGUACAAUUAAUUUACUUCUCUUCAUUUCCAACACUCCUAGUCUAUGCUAUGAACAUCUCUUACCUAAAAUGCUACAGAUGUCCCCUAAAUUUUUCCAUAAAUCAGUUUUUUCCUCUCCAAGCUGUAAGCAGAAAUGCAUUUUUAAAUUGCAUAUAUGACCGUGACACGUAUCUGUCUCAGUUUAUAGAACAGGUCUCUAACAGGGCCAGCAGCUUCCAGUCACUUCUGUCCCUUACCUUUUCUCCAGUCUCAUUUUACAUAUUUUUUUACAUGCUCUCUAUAUUCCUGUAAUUAAAUAUUACUUUCCCCUCAA